RNAcentral lists this ribosomal RNA (467 nucleotides) under uncultured bacterium. RNAcentral's name for it is "partial 16S ribosomal RNA". It matches the Rfam family "Bacterial small subunit ribosomal RNA", at positions 28 to 507 of the family's 1533-position model. The record is from RNAcentral.
GACGAACGCUGGCGGCGUGCUUAACACAUGCAAGUCGAACGGAAAGGCCUCUUUCGGGGGGUACUCGAGUGGCGAACGGGUGAGUAACACGGGAGUAACCUGCCCUUGACUUUGGGAUAACUUCAGGAAACUGGGGCUAAUACCGGAUAGGAGCUCCUGCUGCAUGGUGGGGGUUGGAAAGGUUCGGCGGUUGGGGAUGGACUGGCGGCUUAUCAGCUUGUUGGUGGGGUAGUGGCUUACCAAGGCUUUGACGGGUAGCCGGCCUGAGAGGGUGAACGGCCACAUUGGGACUGAGAUACGGCCCAGACUCCUACGGGGGGCAGCAGUGGGGAAUAUUGCACAAUGGGUGGAAGCCUGAUGCAGCAACGCCGGGGGCGGGAUGACGGGCUUCGGGUUGUAAACCGCUUUCGCUCAUGACGAAGCUUUGUGUGACGGUAGUGGGUAAAGAAGCACCGGCUAACUACGUG